This 491-nucleotide ribosomal RNA is filed under the name uncultured bacterium. RNAcentral's name for it is "partial 16S ribosomal RNA". It matches the Rfam family "Bacterial small subunit ribosomal RNA", at positions 29 to 506 of the family's 1533-position model. The record is from RNAcentral.
AGUGAACGCUGGCGGUAGGCCUAACACAUGCAAGUCGAACGGCAGCACAGUAAGAGCUUGCUCUUACGGGUGGCGAGUGGCGGACGGGUGAGGAAUACAUCGGAAUCUACUUUUUCGUGGGGGAUAACGUAGGGAAACUUACGCUAAUACCGCAUACGACCUACGGGUGAAAGCAGGGGAUCUUCGGACCUUGCGCGAUUGAAUGAGCCGAUGUCGGAUUAGCUAGUUGGCGGGGUAAAGGCCCACCAAGGCGACGAUCCGUAGCUGGUCCGAGAGGAUGAUCAGCCACACUGGAACUGAGACACGGUCCAGACUCCUACGGGAGGCAGCAGUGGGGAAUAUUGGACAAUGGGCGCAAGCCUGAUCCAGCCAUACCGCGUGGGUGAAGAAGGCCUUCGGGUUGUAAAGCCCUUUUGUUGGGAAAGAAAAGCAGCAGGUUAAGACCCCGCUGUUCUGACGGUACCCAAAGAAUAAGCACCGGCGAACUUCGG